RNAcentral lists this ribosomal RNA (339 nucleotides) under uncultured Flavobacteriaceae bacterium. RNAcentral describes it as "bacterial LSU rRNA". It matches the Rfam family "Bacterial large subunit ribosomal RNA", at positions 1 to 355 of the family's 2925-position model. Lineage: Bacteria; Pseudomonadati; Bacteroidota; Flavobacteriia; Flavobacteriales; Flavobacteriaceae. The record is from RNAcentral.
AAUAGGCUAAUUAAGAGCGUAAGGGGAAUGCCUUGGCUCUCAGAGGCGAUGAAGGACGUGAUAAGCUGCGAUAAGCUGUGGGGAGUGGCACAAACACUUUGAUCCGCAGAUUUCCGAAUGGGGCAACCCGGCAUAUUGAAGAUAUGUCACACUGUAAAGUGAGCAAACCUGGUGAACUGAAACAUCUAAGUAACCAGAGGAAUAGAAAACAAAAGUGAUUCCGCUAGUAGUGGCGAGCGAACGUGGAACAGCCCAAACCUAUGUUGUUACGGCAAUAUAGGGGUUGUAGGACCUCAACAUUUAAUGCUAAUAGAACUAGAAUUUACUGGAAAGUAAAAC